ACUGCACACUGAGAAGACACAAUGCUUUGUAUGGUGAGGGAGUCGGCUUUCAGGAAAUUAACUUGUUUCUGUGAAUAAUGAAACUGCGCUGAGAAGGAUAUUGCAGGAGCAGGUGAAAAGCUCAGCUGUCCUUUGGCAAAAUCAGGAAAUUAACAUCUGAAAUAUGUCUGUGUUUGUAGUAUCCUUGGAUUCAUGAUGGGGGUCUGCGCUGCUUUCCAUGUGGUGAUGGGAGAUCUGGCAGUUCAGCUUUUAGAAGGGUUCAUCGGUGAGGAGGUCACCCAGAACCAGCGCAUGUUUCUUAUUUUUGCCAUCGGCUGGCUUGUUGUUCUUCCUCUCAGCCUGACACUAGCCAGCGACUCGGGGUCCUCUUGUCAACCACAGCAGUAAUCGGCUUUGCUUGCUUCAUGGUUGUGGUAAGUGAAAGGUUUUGAUUGAUUCACCUAUCUGGUGUUGUGCAGUAAUCUUUGCAAAACUGCACCUACAUUUAGCAAGCUCUGAAUUUACUCCCAAUUACAUCCAUACAAGGAUCUAUGCGUGGAACAAAUGUACACUGAACUUUGAUGGUUUGCUGUCACCUGUUGGAGAAAAGAGGUACUGCCGAUGCAGUGACGCUAGGUUGAGGAGCUCGUUCUCAUGUAUAGCACUGCAUGCAAACUGAGUGGUGGGCUAACCGAAGCUUCAUAACGGCUGGAGAGUUUAUUUCACUGCUGUCACAGCUCUCCAGUGGUCAGGAGGUGCAGGUGAGAUUCUCUCGGAUGGGUUGCUGGAGUGUCUGUCUAUCUAUGGAACUGCCUUCAGCUGCCAUCUGUAAGUAAUAUUAGUGCUAGUCAUUGGUUUGACAUUAUGCAAAGGCAGUAGAUACAGCAAUAUCUGAGCAUUUUCAACAACAACAUUUCAAAUGUACCAACAUGACGUAUUGCGUGUCAGGCUUCAAACACCGCCCUGUUUUGGAGUGACUGCUCCAGUAGUCGUUGAAGAGUUUUCUUCUCACCCCUGCUGCUUGUAUCACCUUCCUUCCAGACAGCUGCUGCCAAUGGUUUGUGUGAAAGGCCUUGACGUUUCAGAGCAGCAAACAACGCAAGCCAUUAAGCAUGCAUUUGCUGCAACCUUAGUGUUUUACACAUUGGUUGGAUCAUGUGGCUACGUGUGCUUUAUGGAUGCUGUGAAAGGUAACAUUCUCUCUAACCUGCCCUCCAGUGCCACGAUGGAGGGGGUGCGUGUGGUACUCUUGGCCUCUGUGGUGAUGAGCAUUCCUUCGAUAAUCCAGUCCUGUCGUCAGGCCAUCGGCACCCUGCUCUUCAAACAGCAGAUUAGUAGCAUGCAAAGUGUUUAGGGCAGGCAGGCCCUAGUGACAAAACUGUAACCUGUCAUGUAUGCAAAGUCUGCUCUGGUCAAUGAAAUAUAUUUUGGUAUCAAUGAGACUUCUCUGGACUGCUGUUAAAAUAUUUUUAACCAAAUUCCUCUGGGCUUCAACAACAUCAGCAAAAAGUGUGCUAAAACAAUACUAGAAGCUUAACAUUCUGUCUCUCAAUUUCAUUUGUUUUAUUUGUUUUCUUAAAUCAUACAAUGUAAAGUUCAAAAAUCUUUCAGAAUAUCAGAAUCUACAGCGUGUAAUUAAUGAAAACUGACUUUUAAAAACGGUCUUUGAAUAACUUAAUUGUUGUGACUGGAGCACAUUAUUUCGUUAUGAGAGUAUUAUUUUGUAUCGUACUGUUUUACAUUAUUUACAGACAGACAUUUCCUAAAGAGGCUCUCAUGCAUGGACACUUGUUAAUACCACAGCAAGCUUGUCAUUAACAGUUAAUAAACAAACAACAGCACCUUGUAAAUGAAAGUGUUGCCUUGUGCCUUUUUGCAAUUGAUAUUUCUUUUUAAAAAACAAAGUAAUGGCAGUCAG
Molecule: long non-coding RNA, 1897 nt
Organism: Acipenser ruthenus (sterlet)
Lineage: Eukaryota; Metazoa; Chordata; Actinopteri; Acipenseriformes; Acipenseridae
Exons: 5
Source: RefSeq, a predicted model, not a curated record